RNAcentral lists this long non-coding RNA (3104 nucleotides) under Macaca fascicularis (crab-eating macaque). RNAcentral describes it as "lncRNA (ENSMFAG00000055970.1)". The record is from RNAcentral. Lineage: Eukaryota; Metazoa; Chordata; Mammalia; Primates; Cercopithecidae.
GGGUAUUCACCCUUUUCAAAUAUAUCAUUUGCAAAUACUUUCUCCCAUUCUGUGGAUUGCCUUUCACUCUGUUUUCUUCUUUGAUGCAUGGAAGUUGUUUCUGUGUUUCUUUUAGUUAUCUGUGCCUCUGGUGUCAUAUCUAAGAAAUCACUGCCAAAUCUAAUGUUGUUAAAAUUUUCCCUUAUGUUUCUCCUAAAUGUUUUAGUUUUAGCUCUUAGUUAAGGCCUUUUGUCCAUUUUAAUUUUUAUAUGUGGUGUGAGGUAGAUCUAGCUUCAUGUGAAUGUCCACUUGUUUAGCACCAUUUGUUGAAAAGACUGUCCCUUCUCCCUUGAAUGGUCUUGCCACCAUCAAAAAUCAUUUGACCCAUAUGUGCAAGGGUUUAUUUAGGGAUUUGCUAUUCUAUUCCAUUGGUCUAUAUGACUCUUUGUUUCACUACAACACCAUUUUGGUUAUUGUAGCUUUGUCAUAAGUUAUGAAAUAAGGAAGUGAGAGACCUCCUACUUUGUUCCCUUUCAAGAUGAUUUUGGCUGUGUGAGGUCUCUUGAGAUUCCAUAUGAAUUUCAGGAUGGGAAAAAAAAAAGCCAUUGGGAUAUUUUGAUAGAGAUUACAUGAAAUCUGUAGAUUGCUUUAGACUAUGGACAUGUUAAUAUUAAGGCUUCCAAACCAUAAACACGGAAUUGCUUUCUAUUUAUUUGUGUUGACCUUCCUUUCAGCAAUGUUUUAUGGUUUUCAGUGUACAAGUCUUUUACCUCAAGUUUAUUCCUAAAUAUUUCAGUUUUUUGUUACAAUUAUAAAUGGAAUUUUCUUAAAUUUCCUUUUGAGGUUGCUUGUUAUUGUAUAGAAAUAUCAUAGAUUUGUUGUGUUGAUUUUGUAAACUGCAAUGUUACUGAAAUUGUCUAUACAAAGACACUAGGAUUUUCUACAUAUAAGAUCAUGUCAUCUGCAAACAGAGAUAAUUUUGCUGCUUCUUUUCCAGUCUGGAUGCCUUUUAUUUCUUUUUCUUGCCUAAUUGCUCUAAGACUCCAGUACUGUGUUAAAUAAAAGUGGUGAGACAGGGUAUUUCUGUCUUGUUCUUGAUCUUCAAGUAAAUGCUUUCAGUCUUAUUGAAUAUGAUGUUUACAGUGGGAUUUUCAUAUGGCCUCUAUUUGAGGUUGUUUCCUUCUAUUCCCAGUUAUUGAGAGUUUUUAUCAUGAAAGGGCAUGACAUUGUCUCAAAUGCUUUUUCUGCAUCAGUUGAUAUCACAUUUUUUUUCUUUCAUUCUGUUAAUGUAGUAUGUAUUACAUUUAUUGACUUGAGCAUGUUGAAACAUCUUUGCAUACCAGCUAUAAAUCUCACUUGGCCAUGAUGUGUAAUCCUUUCAAUGUUCCCCUGAAUUGUGUUGGCCGUAUUUUGUUGAAUACUGAUUAAAAAAAAAAAAAAUCUUGGUCAGGAAUACUGAUGUGUGGUGUUCUUUUCUUGUAGUGUCUUUGUCUUUGUUUGGUUUUGGUAUCAGAAUAAUGCUGCCCUCAUAGGAUACAUUUGGAAGUGUCCUUUCCUCUUCAGUUUUUUGGAAGAGUCUGAGAAUUGAUUUAAUUCUUCAGAUGUUUGGUAGAAUUUCCAUAUGGCCCUGCGCUUUUCUUUGUUGGGAGGCUUUUCAUUACUAAUUCAUUCUCUUGACUAGCAUAGGUCUGUUUAGAUUUUCCAUUUCUUCAUGAUUCAGUCUUGAUACACUGCUGUGUGUUUCCAAGAAUUUGUCCAGUUCAUCUAAGUUAUCCAAUUCAUUGAUAUAUAAUUGCUCAUAGUACUCAGUUGUAAUGUCCCCUCCUUCUGGUUUUUAGUUGUUUUUCUUAGUCACUCUUAGCCAAAAGUCAGUUUUGGUUAUCAGCAAACUCUUGGUUUCAUUUAUUUUCCUCUAUUACUUUUCUGUUCUCUAUUUUUGUCUCUGCUCUAAUCUUUAUUAUUUCCUCCAUCCUGCUGGCUUUGGGUUGAUUGCUCUUCUUUUUCUAGUUCUUUCAGAUGUAAAUUUAGUGUUGACUUGAGAUCUUAAUUUUUUUAAUAUUUGUAUUUACAGUUAUAAAUUUCCUUUCUACCACUUUCACUGUGCCUGUUUUUUGUAUGUUAUGUUUAAAUUUUCAUUUAUCUCAAGAUAUUUUCUAAUUUCCCUUGUGAUUUCCCCCAUUAAUCCGCUGGUUGAGAGUGUUGUUUAAUUUUCACAAAAUUGUGUACUUUACAGUUUUUCAUCUAGUUACUGAUUUCUAGUUUCAUCCCACUGUGGCCAGAAAAGGUAUUUUAUUUCUUCAGUCUUUUGAAAUUUCUUGACUUGUUUUGUGGUCUAACAUACUGUCUAUCCUAGAGAAAGGUCCAUUUGCACUUGAGAAAAAUGUGUGUACUGCUGUUGUGUCUGUUAGGUCCAGUUGCUAUGAUGCUGUUCAAGUUCUGUCUUGCGACUGAUCGUCUGUCUGGUUGUCCUAUCCAUUACUGAACGUGGGCUGUUACUGAAAGAAGUCUCCUACUCUUACCAUGGAACUACCCAUUUCUUCCUUUGAUUCUGUCAAUGUUUGUUUCAUAUACUUUGGGGCUCUGAUGUUUGGUGCAUAUAUAUUACAUCUUCUUGGUGAAUUUUCAGACUUUUUAAAUUUCAACAACAUGAACAUGAAAUUAUAGGAUGUCUGGGAUUUCCUUUGAAUCCGUGGGACUGGGAGUAACUAUAGAUGAAACAAGGCUGGCCAGUAAUUUGAGGCUGCAAGGAUAGGUACACAUUGGGGUGUAAAGCAGGGCUCAACACUUUUUCGGUAACGGAGCAGAUGGUAAAUAUUGUUGGCUUUUCUAGCCAUGUGGCUCUCUUGCCACUUUGCGGUAGCGGCAUGAAGCAGCCACGCCACGCACCAGUACAUGUGGCUAUGUUCCAGUCAAACUUUUUGGACAAUAAAAUCUGAAUUUCACAUACUUUUCUUAUGUCAUUAGAUAUUACCCUUUUACCUCUUUUCACUGUUUAAAAAUGUAAAAAUCAUUCUUAACAUUUGGGCUGUGCAAAAACAGGGGGUGGACCCAAUUUUGGCCUGUAUUUCGCUUGCCAACCCGAUUUAUACUUUUGUAUCUAUUUGACAUUUUCCAUUAAAAGUUAU